GCCUUCCUUGUCUGGGGGAGCAUAGCGUACAAUGAUCGUUUAGUGAGGACGCUGAUGCUGGCACCCAAAUAUUAUUACCCGCACCCGCUUUCGAGCGAGUGCAAUUUUUGAAUUC
Molecule: small nuclear RNA, 115 nt
Organism: Ctenocephalides felis (cat flea)
Lineage: Eukaryota; Metazoa; Arthropoda; Insecta; Siphonaptera; Pulicidae
Product: U4atac minor spliceosomal RNA
Exons: 1
Source: RefSeq, a predicted model, not a curated record